UGGAGAGAGGAGUAAUGUGAAAUAAGGUGGAAAGGUAAAUGGUAGCCAAAUUACUGAGAAUUUUAAGUGUUAGGGUGGAUAUUUUUUAUUUUCUCCUAGACACACAGGGAGCCCCUGAAGAAUCUUAAGCAAGGGGAAAAUUGCAUUUAGGACUAUUGGUUUGGUAGUUGUUUAGAGGACAGAUUGGAGAAGACUGCAAGCAGGAAGAUCAAGUAGGAGGCUAUUAUGGUGUUCCAGAAGAAUGGAAGCAUGUGCUGGAACACUGAUGGUGACUGUGUGAGUUGAGAGAAAUCUAAAAGAUAGUGUGGAGGUAGAAUUGGCAGAUCUUGUCAGCUGACUGACUAAAGGGCAUGAACAAGAGGCAACAAUGUGACUAAGAAUAAGAAUAGGAAUGUGGUGGUGCCUUGAACAGAAACAGAGGAAUUUAGAAGGACACAUUUUAAGGGAAGAUAAUGAGUUUCUUUUUAGUUAUUCUGAAUUAAGUCCACAGUACAUACAAGUGGAGAUGUCCAGCAGGCUGUUGGCAAUUCAGAAUGAACAAGUUGGACAUACAGAUUUACAUAUAAGUGUUAACUGAUGAACAGAUGAAGUUCUCAAGGCAGAAAGAGAAGAGAAAGGAAGAAAGGAAAGGAGAAGAGAGAAGAGAAAGCAGCCAUAAAAGAAGCCCACUCUUCAGGGCUGGGAGACAGAGACAAAGUGUCUGCUCUCCUGGAAUGACCUUGUCUGCUCUCCCGGAAGACCUUGAAGAGGAUUUUGCCUGUGAUCAAUGGAGGAAGGAGUUUUUCUGGAUCUGGAUGCUGGCAGCAUCAGUCUGGACUUCCUUGGACAUCUAACAACAUCAGAUCCUGGCCCUAUUUGAUUUGGACUCCUGGUAUGAGAUUGGGAUAUUUGGGAAGCAAAUGUUUUAGUUAAGUAAUAUAGCUUAGUUAGUCAUAAUCUUUUAAAUUAAGUAUAAGUAUAUUCCUAAACCAUUAUUCCCUUCCUAUCUUUCCCAAACAAUAAAGCAGAAUUUAUUUAUGUUUUCUUCUUGUGU
Molecule: long non-coding RNA, 1033 nt
Filed under: Monodelphis domestica (gray short-tailed opossum)
Lineage: Eukaryota; Metazoa; Chordata; Mammalia; Didelphimorphia; Didelphidae
Description: lncRNA (ENSMODG00000038688.1)
Source: RNAcentral